Molecule: ribosomal RNA, 729 nt
Filed under: uncultured eukaryote
Lineage: Eukaryota
Description: SSU rRNA
Rfam family: Eukaryotic small subunit ribosomal RNA
Source: RNAcentral
CGGGUGCACUGAUCCAGCCGGGCCUUUCCCUCUGUGGAACCCCAUGGCCUUCACUGGCUGUGGUGGGGAAACAGGACUUUUACUUUGAAAAAAUUAGAGUGCUCCAGGCAGGCCUAUGCUCGAAUACAUUAGCAUGGAAUAAUAGAAUAGGACGCGUGGUUCUAUUUUGUUGGUUUCUAGGACCGCCGUAAUGAUUAAUAGGGACAGUCGGGGGCAUCAGUAUUCAAUUGUCAGAGGUGAAAUUCUUGGAUCUAUUGAAGACUAACUACUGCGAAAGCAUUUGCCAAGGAUGUUUUCAUUGAUAAGGAACGAAAGUUAGGGGAUCGAAGACGAUCAGAUACCGUCGUAGUCUUAACUAUAAACUAUGCCGACUAGGGAUCGGACGAUGUUAUUCUUUGACGCGUUCGGCACCUUUCGAGAAAUCAAAGUGCUUGGGCUCCAGGGGGAGUAUGGUCGCAAGGCUGAAACUUAAAGAAAUUGACGGAAGGGCACCACCAGGGGUGGAACCUGCGGCUUAAUUUGACUCAACACGGGGAAACUCACCAGGUCCAGACACAGUGAGGAUUGACAGAUUGAGAGCUCUUUCUUGAUUCUGUGGGUGGUGGUGCAUGGCCGUUCUUAGUUGGUGGAGUGAUUUGUCUGCUUAAUUGCGAUAACGAACGAGACCUUAACCUGCUAAAUAGCCCGUACUGCUUUGGCAGUUCGCCGGCUUCUUAGAGGGACUAUCGG